CCAGGGGCGGAUCCAGGAUUUGAAUAUUGAGGGGGCCAAAACUUGUGUCGCUAUAUUCAUUGUCGAUUGUGUGGGAGAAUUUAGAAUUCAUUACAUAUUUAGAAAACUCCGUGACCUAAAUUUUCUAUUGGUAGUUUGAUAUCAAUAUCUCGAAAUAAUAUUGUGACAUUGAAAUAAGCUGUCGGUCCUUGUUUCACAUCGGAGCUACAUGCGAACUUGUUAGGGUAGAAUUCAAUUUGCCAUCCUUUUGAUCAUUCACAUCUAUUCAGCAUCUAUUGCUUUGCAUUUCAUUAUUGCUAUUCAUAAUAUUGGUUUAUUAAUUGAUUAGGUACUCUAAUUACUACAUCAAGUUGAAGCGUCUGAGUAUUCGAAUUGCUUUCCUCUCACAUUCGUGGCAUUCUUCAUAUGCAGUCUAGAAGAUAUGGAGUCUGUCAAGUCUGCAA
Molecule: long non-coding RNA, 443 nt
Organism: Zingiber officinale
Lineage: Eukaryota; Viridiplantae; Streptophyta; Magnoliopsida; Zingiberales; Zingiberaceae
Exons: 2
Source: RefSeq, a predicted model, not a curated record